CAUUUACUUGCUUACUCUUUCAAUUGUUUACUGGAAACAUAAGGAUAUAUUGAUUAAUUGGCGAUUGUUAGGUUCUUUUGGACUGUGGAGCUGUGCAAGCUGAUGCUCUGACUGUAGAUCGUCUUGCCUCCUUAGAAAAGUAUGUGGAAACAGCUGUGGUUCCUCGAGCUGAAAUCUUGAAAACAGAAGUGGAGUGGCUUCAUUCUAUCAAAGCUGAUUUCGUGGUGUCUGAUGUUGUCCCCGUAGCGUGCCGUGCAGCGGCUGAUGCUGGCAUACGUUCUGUCUGUGUCACCAAUUUCAGGUGACGUUUUUUAAUAUCCUACUUUCAGUUUUGUUUGGCCUCCUGAG
This is a long non-coding RNA of Brassica napus (rape), 348 nucleotides long. RefSeq lists it as uncharacterized. NCBI's taxonomy places the organism in Eukaryota, Viridiplantae, Streptophyta, Magnoliopsida, Brassicales, Brassicaceae. The transcript has 3 exons. The record is from RefSeq and is a predicted model, not a curated record.